Molecule: unclassified non-coding RNA, 90 nt
Filed under: Pseudomonas thivervalensis
Lineage: Bacteria; Pseudomonadati; Pseudomonadota; Gammaproteobacteria; Pseudomonadales; Pseudomonadaceae
Source: RNAcentral
UGUGGGAGCGAGCUUGCUCGCGAUGGCGGCGGAUCGGCCAGUAUUGAUCUUGACUGACACACCGCUAUCGCGAGCAAGCUCGCUCCCACA